UAAGGAAUCUUCCACAAUGGGCGAAAGCCUGAUGGAGCAACACCGCGUGAAGGAUGAAGGCCCUCGGGUCGUAAACUUCUUUUAUGAGUGAAGAAUAUGACGGUAACUCAUGAAUAAGGGUCGGCUAACUACGUGCCAGCAGCCGCGGUCAUACGUAGGACCCAAGCGUUAUCCGGAGUGACUGGGCGUAAAGAGUUGCGUAGGCGGACAAGUAAGCGAAUAGUAAAAUCUGGUGGCUCAACCAUCAACC
Molecule: ribosomal RNA, 250 nt
Filed under: uncultured bacterium
Lineage: Bacteria
Description: partial 16S ribosomal RNA
Rfam family: Bacterial small subunit ribosomal RNA
Source: RNAcentral